UCUCGGGUCGUCCAGAGGUUUAGGAUACAGGCUUGUCACGCCUGCGACCGGGGUUCGAAUCCCCGUCCGAGAG
Molecule: non-coding RNA, 73 nt
Organism: Xylariaceae sp. FL0804
Lineage: Eukaryota; Fungi; Ascomycota; Sordariomycetes; Xylariales; Xylariaceae
Source: the annotation of a GenBank genome assembly